UGCAGGAUCAACCAGGUAGCAUUCCUCACAGACAUCGGGUUGCAAGAUGCGAGACAUGCUUGCAACGCCAAACGUCUUCCGAAUGGGGCAUGUUAUGCCGAUUUCGUUUAGGGGGCAAAUAGAGGUCAAGACCCCGUACCCGCAACGCGUUCUGCAUCCCGAAGGUCAAGAAAAAUUCAUGGGCCGUGACGACAACGCGAAACGUUUUCAAAACGGAACACGAAUUCCACUUUCAUGUUUGCUCGAAGCCGCACCGUGUGCAUGGGCAGCAGUGGGCAAACGGGUAAAAGAUUGGCUAAUGAAUUCCAUCAACGUAGUUAUGUAACACAGGAAACCAACAACACGGACAAGGUCAAGAGUUGCUCUUGUGCCGACUAUUGAAGAGGAACGCACGGUAGGACGUCGUUGCCCAAGCAAGGAUCCAA
This 425-nucleotide unclassified non-coding RNA is filed under the name Palicourea crocea. RNAcentral's name for it is "partial external transcribed spacer". The record is from RNAcentral. Lineage: Eukaryota; Viridiplantae; Streptophyta; Magnoliopsida; Gentianales; Rubiaceae.